GAAUAGUUGUUCUUGAAUUGUUUAGAUUCUCAUUACAUUUAUCUUCUCUUUCAACAGAUUAGUGAUCAUGAAGGGGGACCUCCAUACAAAGUAUCUACUACUGAUUAUGAAGAAGUGCUGCACCCAUUGGGGUUCGAGGCUACCUCUAUCGUGGAAAAUGAACUGGCUGUUUCACCUCGCAUGGGACGAGAGAAGCUUGCUAGGUGGAAAAGAUCAAUCUGUCUAUCAACUUUGUGAUGUCAUUUCACCAGAUAAGUCGAGGUGGUCUGAUUAGUUGUUUAAUUGUUUAGCAUAUAGAUUUGAUCCAUCGACUAAUGCAAUGGGAAGGAUUUUUAAAAUUGCCUUCUUGGCAUUCUUGAUGUAAGCUGGUUUUGUCCUUGUACUUGCCAAGAACGCAAAAGAAACCGAGGGGAAGAAAUGAAGAAAGAGAAAAUAUCAGACUCCCUGCGCACUCUAUAUUUCUCUGAGAUGGUUGGAAGACUGACUAUACAGGAUGUUCUGGUCCACCAUCUUCUAAUUUCCAUGAGCUUUGGUAAUGCCAUCCAGUCAAGAAUCAAAACUGUAAUACUCCAUGAUUUAGGUUUGUUGAAUUGCUUCCCAGAUUGAAACUCUGUUCAAUCUAAGUCUCUUUGUUGUUUCAUGCUAGUCUGGACAAACUUGUACAAGUCUGAGUUUGAGCAGCUUCUUUUGUGUGUACUCAUUGUAAUUUAUCCUUCUCUGUGCUUUGGCUACAUACAGGAGAUGGACAUUCUUGAUCUUACUUGAAUCACGUAUAAAA
Molecule: non-coding RNA, 778 nt
Organism: Coffea arabica (coffee)
Lineage: Eukaryota; Viridiplantae; Streptophyta; Magnoliopsida; Gentianales; Rubiaceae
Source: RefSeq, a predicted model, not a curated record